UUAUUGAUUACAUAUGAUGACGUUCAAGACACUGAUGUUUGUAAAAGACCCCGGGGGGCCACGGUUCACAGAGGUCGGUUGGAUAAGCCCGGAGGCGUUCACUAAUGAUCCUUCCGCAGGUUCACCUACGGAAA
Molecule: unclassified non-coding RNA, 134 nt
Filed under: uncultured fungus
Lineage: Eukaryota; Fungi
Description: sequence contains ITS1
Source: RNAcentral